RNAcentral lists this ribosomal RNA (414 nucleotides) under Triticum aestivum (bread wheat). Its description in RNAcentral is "partial small subunit ribosomal RNA". The record is from RNAcentral. Lineage: Eukaryota; Viridiplantae; Streptophyta; Magnoliopsida; Poales; Poaceae.
AUGGACGUGAGUGCCCGAGUGAACUACCUCAAGAAGAUGCAUGAAGAUACAAGGCACACCAUCGAGCGCCAAGUACAACGACUCGCGACCAAGCUCAACGUCGACAAGCAACCCAUGAUAAACAUUGGAGAUGUUGUGUGGCUACACCUUCGCAAGGACCGCUUCCCCAACGAACACAAAUCCAAACUUCUACCACGAGCCGAUGGACCCUUCAAGGUGCUUGCACGAUACAACAACAACGCCUACAAGCUCGACAUCCCACACGACAAGUACUCUGUGAGCGACAUCUUCAACAUCAAAGAUCUCUCUCCCUACCAUGGUGAUGAAGAUUUUGAUCCGAGGCCGGAUCUUUUCCAAGGGAGGGGAGAUGAUGUAGAGCAUCCUAUGAUCAUCCCCAUGGACCUACCAUCGUCU